GCUCAUUUUGGCUGGACAUAAGCUGCAAUUGGACAAUACAGAGGAGAUUAGCAUAGCUCCUGCAUGAGGAUGAUAUAGACAUUUACAAAGUGUUCUAUAUUUUU
Molecule: small nuclear RNA, 104 nt
Organism: Sorex fumeus (smoky shrew)
Lineage: Eukaryota; Metazoa; Chordata; Mammalia; Eulipotyphla; Soricidae
Source: RefSeq, a predicted model, not a curated record